Molecule: long non-coding RNA, 476 nt
Filed under: Sinocyclocheilus grahami
Lineage: Eukaryota; Metazoa; Chordata; Actinopteri; Cypriniformes; Cyprinidae
Description: lncRNA (ENSSGRG00000017817.1)
Source: RNAcentral
CAUACGUUUAGGAGGAAGGCUGCUGGACAGAAGACUGUUAUUGUUUUCAGAUACGCUUUUAUCUCAAUAACGAGCUAUCAAUGUGCCCACUGAUGCCCAGAUAGACACCCGCUCUUUCCUGAGUGAGGAAAUGAUUGCUGAGUUCAAGGCUGCUUUCGACACUGAUGGUGGUGGUGAUAUCAGCACCAAGGAGUUAUGAGGAUGCUGGGUCAGAAUCCAACCAGAGAGGAGCUGGAUGCUAUCAUUGAAGUAGUAGAUGAAGAUGAGUUUCUUAAAAUGAUGGAGAACGUCCAGUAAGAAAAAAAUACAUUCCAUCUUCUGCAACCCAUAAUGACAGCAGCCAAGACUCUCAAAAACAACCCAUGCUGAGAGCUUUAAAAGAAAAGAGGAUCGAGGAAACACAACAUCAACAGGGUUCAAAUCGCUAACAAUAAAGAUGGUUGGAAUUCACUUUGAGGGACAGAGAAUAUUAUAGA